Molecule: ribosomal RNA, 451 nt
Filed under: uncultured bacterium
Lineage: Bacteria
Description: partial 16S ribosomal RNA
Rfam family: Bacterial small subunit ribosomal RNA
Source: RNAcentral
AGCGAACGCUGGCGGCAGGCUUAACACAUGCAAGUCGAGCGGGCAUAGCAAUAUGUCAGCGGCAGACGGGUGAGUAACGCGUGGGAACGUACCUUUUGGUUCGGAACAACACAGGGAAACUUGUGCUAAUACCGGAUAAGCCCUUACGGGGAAAGAUUUAUCGCCGAAAGAUCGGCCCGCGUCUGAUUAGCUAGUUGGUGAGGUAAUGGCUCACCAAGGCGACGAUCAGAAGCUGGUAUGAGAGGAUGAUCAGCCACAUUGGGACUGAGACAGGGCCCAAACUCCUACGGGAGGCAGCAGUGGGGAAUAUUGGACAAUGGGCGCAAGCCUGAUCCAGCCAUGCCGCGUGAGUGAUGAAGGCCCUAGGGUUGUAAAGCUCUUUUGUGCGGGAAGAUAAUGACGGUACCGCAAGAAUAAGCCCCGGCUAACUUCGUGCCAGCCGCCGCCGUAA